UGAACGCUGGCGGCAUGCUUUACACAUGCAAGUCGAACGGUAACAGGCCUUCGGGUGCUGACGAGUGGCGAACGGGUGAGUAAUGCAUCGGAACGUACCCAGAGGUGGGGGAUAACGCAGCGAAAGCUGUGCUAAUACCGCAUGUGAUCUGAGGAUGAAAGCGGGGGACCGAGCAGCAAUGUUUGGCCUCGCGCCUUUGGAGCGGCCGAUGUCGGAUUAGCUAGUUGGUGGGGUAAAGGCCUACCAAGGCGACGAUCCGUAGCUGGUCUGAGAGGACGACCAGCCACACUGGGACUGAGACACGGCCCAGACUCCUACGGGAGGCAGCAGUGGGGAAUUUUGGACAAAGGGCGCAAGCCUGAUCCAGCAAUGCCGCGUGCGGGAAGAAGGCCUUCGGGUUGUAAACCGCUUUUGGCAGGAACGAAACGGUGUCCGCUAAUACCGGGCGCUAAUGACGGUACCUGCAGAAUAAGCACCGGCUAACUACGUG
This 490-nucleotide ribosomal RNA is filed under the name uncultured bacterium. RNAcentral's name for it is "partial 16S ribosomal RNA". It matches the Rfam family "Bacterial small subunit ribosomal RNA", at positions 30 to 507 of the family's 1533-position model. The record is from RNAcentral.